UCCCGGUUGGCCCGGGCGGUCUCGUGUGAAAAAUACAACACACGACAAGGGUUGCGCUCGUUGCGGGACUUAACCCAACAUCUCACGACACGAGCUGACGACGGCCAUGCAGCACCUGUCACCUAUCCAGCCGAACUGACUGCCUAGUCUCUUAGGCAUACGAUAGGGAUGUCAAGCCUCGGAUAAGGUUCUUCGCGUAGCAUCGAAUUAAACCACAUGAUCCACUGCUUGUGCGGAGCCCCGUCAAUUCCUUUGAGUUUUAAUCUUGCGAUCGUACUCCCCAGGCGGCAUAUUUAACGCGUUAGCUCCGGCACGAACGAAAUGAAUCGCUCACACCAAGUAUGCAUCGUUUAGGGCGUGGACUAC
This 366-nucleotide unclassified non-coding RNA is filed under the name uncultured bacterium. Its description in RNAcentral is "contains 16S-23S intergenic spacer region". The record is from RNAcentral.